This 366-nucleotide long non-coding RNA is filed under the name Physcomitrium patens. Its description in RNAcentral is "long non-coding RNA (PPAT_LNC005306)". Lineage: Eukaryota; Viridiplantae; Streptophyta; Bryopsida; Funariales; Funariaceae. The record is from RNAcentral.
UUAAAAAAAUGUUGAGGCUUUAAAGCUUCUAAAUCCUCUAUAAAAUUUAUUUCAUCUUGCUAUUUAAAGAUUUUCAUUAAUUUUUUUUUAAUCCUAGCAUUCAAUGGUUUUUUAUCUAAUUUUUAAAGAAAAUGAGUUACAUUAUCAUAUACUUCAACUACCACAUAGGAUCUAAAUCAAUGUUGUAAAAACUUAUAAAGAAUAGAAUAUUAGUGUAUCAAGCUACUAUCAUAAAAUAAAAUCCAAUCACCUUUUUUAAUUGGCUUAGGACUCAAUUGAUGAGAUUUAUUAAACCUCUCUUUGUUGUUCAACCUUACUACUUCUAGCCUCUCAAUAGCAACUUAAUGAUCCAUGGACACUCUCUCU